Molecule: ribosomal RNA, 464 nt
Filed under: uncultured Cardiobacterium sp.
Lineage: Bacteria; Pseudomonadati; Pseudomonadota; Gammaproteobacteria; Cardiobacteriales; Cardiobacteriaceae
Description: bacterial SSU rRNA
Rfam family: Bacterial small subunit ribosomal RNA
Source: RNAcentral
CCUACGGGAGGCUGCAGUGGGGAAUAUUGGACAAUGGGGGGAACCCUGAUCCAGCAAUGCCGCGUGUGUGAAGACGGCCUUCGGGUUGUAAAGCACUUUCAGUAGGGAGGAAAGGUGCGUAGUUAAUACCUGCGCAAUUGACGUUACCUACCGAAGAAGCACCGGCUAACUCCGGGCCAUCAGCCGCGGUAAUACGGAGGGUGCGAGCGUUAUUCGGAAUUACUGGGCGUAAAGCGAACGCAGGCGGUUGCCCAAGUCAGAUGUGAAAGCCCCGGGCUUAACCUGGGAACUGCAUUUGAAACUGGGGGACUAGAGUAUGAAAGAGGAAAGCGGAAUUUCCAGUGUAGCAGUGAAAUGCGUAGAUAUUGGAAGGAACAACGAUGGCGAAGGCAGCUUUCUGGGUCGAUACUGACGCUCAUGUGCGAAAGCGUGGGGAGCAAACAGGAUGAGAUACCCUGGUAGUC